Eriocheir sinensis (Chinese mitten crab) is the source of this 3821-nucleotide long non-coding RNA. RefSeq lists it as uncharacterized. Lineage: Eukaryota; Metazoa; Arthropoda; Malacostraca; Decapoda; Varunidae. The transcript is spliced from 7 exons. The record is from RefSeq and is a predicted model, not a curated record.
AUAGAGAUAGACAGAUAGAUAGAGAGAUACAGCAAAAAAUGUUAAAAAAAAGAAGAACCAAAAUAUUAAAAAGAAAAAAAGAAAAAGAUCUGUACAGGUAACUCUCGAUUUACGCGAGUUUGGUUUAAUUGUUUUUGAAAUACCGCGAGGUCCAAAAUCCAAAUAAAUGUUUACUUUACACGUUUUUUUCACUUCUACGCGAUAUUUUCUGGAGUGACCACCAGAUGUCUCACACAACUGGACUCACACGGCCACACAGCUGAGCUCAGUUCUUCACAAUACUCAUAUAGUUACCUUACAUAGAAAGAUAAGUAGAUAGAUUGACAGACAAAGACAGAAAUUCAUAUGGAAAGAGAGUUGAAAUAUCCUGACAGACCAUAGCUAUGCACAGACUAACGGAAUGAGCCAGCGGUCGGAAUGGUCAGACCCUUACAUCACCUACUCCCAGACGCCGAAAAGGAGGUCAACCGGGUUCUAAUGAAUGUGUUUCUAGGUUCACAGUACAGAAGAAGGGUCACACUACCAGAAGGGUCAUCAAACUACCCCUGGAAAUGCCCAAAACUCUUACGAAAGCCUUGGCAAAUGCGUGUUUCUAGGUUCACAGUACAGAAGAAGGGUCACACUACCAGAAGGGUCAUCAAACUACCCCUGGAAAUGCCCAAAACUCUUACGAAAGCCUUGUUAAAUAUGUGUUUCUAGGUUCACAGUACAGAAGAAGGGUCACACUACCAGAAGGGUCAUCAAACUACCCCUGGAAAUGCCCAAAACUCUUACAAAAGCCUUGGCAAAUAUGUGUUUCUAGGUUCACAGUACAGAAGAAGGGUCACACUACCAGAAGGGUCAUCAAACUACCCCUGGAAAUGCCCAAAACUCUUACGAAAGCCUUGGCAAAUGCGUGUUUCUAGGUUCACAGUACAGAAGAUGGGUCACACUACCAGAAGGGUCAUCAAACUACCCCUGGAAUUGCCCAAAACUCUUACAAAAGCCUUGUCAAAUAUGUGUUUCUAGGUUCACAGUACAAAAGAAGGGUUACACUACCAGAAGGGUCAACAAACUACCCCUGGAAAUGCCCAAAACUCUUACGAAAGCCUUAGCAAAUAUGUGUUUCUAGGUUCACAGUACAGAAGAAGGGUCACACUACCAGAAGGGUCAUCAAACUACCCCUGGAAAUGCCCAAAACUCUUACGAAAGCCUUGUCAAAUAUGUGUUUCUAGGUUCACAGUACAGAAGAAGGGUCACACUACCAGAAGGGUCAUCAAACUACCCCUGGAAAUGCCCAAAACUCUUACGAAAGCCUUGGCAAAUGCGUGUUUCUAGGUUCACAGUACAGAAGAAGGGUCACACUACCAGAAGGGUCAUCAAACUACCCCUGGAAAUGCCCAAAACUCUUACGAAAGCCUUGGCAAAUAUGUGUUUCUAGGUUCACAGUACAGAAGAAGGGUCACACUACCAGAAGGGUCAUCAAACUACCCCUGGAAAUGCCCAAAACUCUUACGAAAGCCUUGGCAAAUGCGUGUUUCUAGGUUCACAGUACAGAAGAAGGGUCACACUACCAGAAGGGUCAUCAAACUACCCCUGGAAAUGCCCAAAACUCUUACGAAAGCCUUGGCAAAUAUGUGUUUCUAAGUUCACAGUACAGAAGAAGGGUCACACUACCAGAAGGGUCAUCAAACUACCCCUGGAAAUGCCCAAAACUCUUACGAAAGCCUUGUUAAAUAUGUGUUUCUAGGUUCACAGUACAGAAGAAGGGUCACACUACCAGAAGGGUCAUCAAACUACCCCUGGAAAUGCCCAAAACUCUUACGAAAGCCUUGGCAAAUAUGUGUUUCUAGGUUCACAGUACAGAAGAAGGGUCACACUACCAGAAGGGUCAUCAAACUACCCCUGGAAAUGCCCAAAACUCUUACAAAAGCCUUGUUAAAUAUGUGUUUCUAGGUUCACAGUACAGAAGAAGGGUCACACUACCAGAAGGGUCAUCAAACUACCCCUGGAAAUGCCCAAAACUCUUACGAAAGCCUUGGCAAAUGUGUGUUUCUAGGUUCACAGUACAGAAGAUGGGUCACACUACCAGAAGGGUCAUCAAACUACCCCUGGAAAUGCCCAAAACUCUUACGAAAGCCUUGGGAAAUGCGUGUUUCUAGGUUCACAGUACAGAAGAUGGGUCACACUACCAGAAGGGUCAUCAAACUACCCCUGGAAAUGCCCAAAACUCUUACGAAAGCCUUGGCAAAUAUGUGUUUCUAGGUUCACAGUACAGAAGAAGGGUCACACUACCAGAAGGGUCAUCAAACUACCCCUGGAAAUGCCCAAAACUCUUACGAAAGCCUUGUCAAAUGCGUGUUUCUAGGUUCACAGUACAGAAGAAGGGUCACACUACCAGAAGGGUCAUCAAACUACCCCUGGAAAUGCCCAAAACUCUUACGAAAGCCUUGUCAAAUAUGUGUUUCUAGGUUCACAGUACAGAAGGGUUACACUACCAGAAGGGUCAUCAAACUACCCCUGGAAAUGCCCAAAACUCUUACGAAAGCCUUGUCAAAUAUGUGUUUCUAGGUUCACAGUACAGAAGAAGGGUCACACUACCAGAAGGGUCAUCAAACUACCCCUGGAAAUGCCCAAAACUCCUACGAAACCCUUAGCAAAUAUGUGUUUCUAGGUUCACAGUACAGAAGAAGGGUCACACUACCAGAAGGGUCAGCAAACUAUCCCUGGAAAUGCCCAAAACUCUUACGAAAGCCUUGUCAAAUAUGUGUUUCUAUGUUCACAGUACAGAAGGGUCACACUACCAGAAGGGUCAUCAAACUACCCCUGGAAAUGCCCAAAACUCUUACGAAAGCCUUGUCAAAUAUGUGUUUCUAGGUUCACAGUACAGAAGGGUCACACUACCAGAAGGGUCAUCAAACUACCCCUGGAAAUGCCCAAAACUCUUACGAAAGCCUUGUCAAAUAUGUGUUUCUUGGUUCACAGUACAGAAGAAGGGUCACACUACCAGAAGGGUCAUCAAACUACCCCUGGAAAUGCCCAAAACUCUUACAAAAACCUUGGCAAAUAUGUGUUUCUAGGUUCACAGUACAGAAGGGUCAUCAAACUACCCCUGGAAAUGCCCAAAACUCUUACGAAAGCCUUGUCAAAUAUGUGUUUCUAGGUUCACAGUACAGAAGAAGGGUCACACUACCAGAAGGGUCAUCAAACUACCCCUGGAAAUGCCCAAAACUCUUACGAAAGCCUUGUCAAAUAUGUGUUUCUAGGUUCACAGUACAGAAGAAGGGUCACACUACCAGAAGGGUCAUCAAACUACCCCUGGAAAUGCCCAAAACUCUUACGAAAGCCUUGGCAAAUGCGUGUUUCUAGGUUCACAGUACAGAAGAAGGGUCACACUACCAGAAGGGUCAUCAAACUACCCCUGGAAAUGCCCAAAACUCUUACGAAAGCCUUGUCAAAUAUGUGUUUCUAGGUUCACAGUACAGAAGAUGGGUCACACUACCAGAAGGGUCAUCAAACUACCCCUGGAAAUGCCCAAAACUCUUACGAAAGCCUUGUCAAAUAUGUGUUUCUAGGUUCACAGUACAGAAGAAGGGUCACACUACCAGAAGGGUCAUCAAACUACCCCUGGAAAUGCCCAAAACUCCUACAAAAGCCUUAGCAAAUAUGUGUUUCUAGGUUCACAGUACAGAAGGGUCACACUACCAGAAGGGUCAUCAAACUACCCCUGGAAAUGCCCAAAACUCCUACAAAAGCCUUGUCAAGUGUGUGAGCUUUGGCGAGGAAAGGUUUAAGGAUGUGCCCCUAAGCAGCGGGUGGAUGAGUAGCCCCUUCAGCGUAAG